UGCCAGCAGCCGCGGUAAUACGAAGGGGGCAAGCGUUGUUCGGAAUCACUGGGCGUAAAGCGCACGUAGGCGGAUCGUUAAGUCAGGGGUGAAAUCCCGAGGCUCAACCUCGGAACUGCCUUUGAUACUGGCGAUCUUUGAGUCCGGGAGAGGUGAGUGGAAUUCCGAGUGUAGAGGUGAAAUUCGUAGAUAUUCGGAAGAACACCAGUGGCGAAGGCGGCUCACUGGCCCGGUACUGACGCUGAGGUGCGAAAGCGUGGGGAGCAAACAGGAUUAGAUA
RNAcentral lists this ribosomal RNA (280 nucleotides) under uncultured bacterium. RNAcentral describes it as "partial 16S ribosomal RNA". It matches the Rfam family "Bacterial small subunit ribosomal RNA", at positions 506 to 784 of the family's 1533-position model. The record is from RNAcentral.